RNAcentral lists this small nuclear RNA (167 nucleotides) under Myotis brandtii (Brandt's bat). Its description in RNAcentral is "U2 spliceosomal RNA". It matches the Rfam family "U2 spliceosomal RNA". From Rfam's summary of the family: U2 is a small nuclear RNA (snRNA) component of the spliceosome (involved in pre-mRNA splicing). Complementary binding between U2 snRNA (in an area lying towards the 5' end but 3' to hairpin I) and the branchpoint sequence (BPS) of the intron results the bulging out of an unpaired adenosine, on the BPS, which initiates a nucleophilic attack at the intronic 5' splice site, thus starting the first of two transesterification reactions that mediate splicing. The record is from Rfam by way of RNAcentral. Lineage: Eukaryota; Metazoa; Chordata; Mammalia; Chiroptera; Vespertilionidae.
AUCACUUUUUGGCCUUUUGGCUAACAUCAAGUGAAGCAUCUGUUCUUAUCAGUUUAAUAAAAUAUUUGCUUCAGAAACUGCCACCUCUGAAGAGUCAAGCUGCCAUGAAGCAGGUAAGUGCAUGGAGCCACCAUCAACAGCAAACUCAUUUCUGGAGUGAAAGCUCA